Long non-coding RNA from Oncorhynchus keta (chum salmon), 780 nucleotides. RefSeq lists it as uncharacterized. The record is from RefSeq and is a predicted model, not a curated record. Lineage: Eukaryota; Metazoa; Chordata; Actinopteri; Salmoniformes; Salmonidae. The transcript is spliced from 3 exons.
AAAGAAGGAAAACCAGGGAGUGUCUACUCACUACAGACUAAGACAUGGAUACAUUCCGGACCUCCAAUGCAAGAUUUUGAGGAAGUGGUUGGAAUCUGGUGGCAGGAUGCCAAGGAGAAGAACCCAAAAGACCCUAGAAGACUUGGACUCCUACCCUCCCCUCUAAUCCUUCACCAACAACUGAGAAAAUUGCACAAUCACAAGUGAGAAGAGGCCUAGUAUUGGAUGAACCUUGAGACCAUGCAGGAGCUCCAGAAACCUCCUCCAGCUCAGCAACCCUGUGAGAAACCAGAUUAACAGUAAAGGCCCUGAUGGACCAAGACCCCUGCUAUUGGACCUCUCAAAAGACCCCUCUGAAGCCUCUACUAUAAAGCAACUAGGAGACCUGCCUGCCUGCCUCCCAGUCCCAACCCCAAAACUGAUGCAGCAAUUUCUGUACCAGGCAACACAAACAAACUGAUGACAGGAGCAUACACAUGGACAGUUGGCUUAGACAGAGGUCGAGUCCCUGCCUGCAAUAGUUCCUUUCUGUCUGUAGGAAUCUCCCUGAAGUUGCCACAGGUGCACCAAAGUGGUGGCUCACCAUUCUGGCGUCAGUAAAUCUCGAGGACAUAAAACACCAACCCUGGCUCUCAAUGAAACAUCAGCCUCACCACCUCCCUGUUGUCUGCAUCAUCGAGCUCCUUGAUGAGAAAUUCCUGAAUGAACAGACGCACACACAGCCUAUUAUCAGUAAAUCAGAAUGUGUUAUUUCUCUCCACACCCAACUAAAGGCAUUUC